UUGUUGGGGGGUGGGAAUUGGGCCCAUGGGCUCGGGGGGGCCCUGUGCCCCACCCCCGGACUACGUUUUGUCAGAACCCAUUGACUAAAUGCUUCUGGCACAGCGGAAACUCCCAGCACAGCAAAAAGCCCCGCCAAGCCCAACGGCUGCAAUCGUUUAAGUUUCAACAAGUCCUGGUGAUUGGCUGACCGUGCGCGCCACCCAUUGGCCGGUUACAAAUUAAUCCCACUUGGCAACUAGUAAUUGGCUUACUAGCUAUAUAAAAGUAAAAUCAGUUUCCGCCCUCGUUGGAGAACUCCGCACGCGUCUUGGAGUAAACUUGGCGGACUGACCACCCACCAACAACCCCCCGUCACCGACUUUCCUGACGUACCCCGUCCCUGGUACCACGAUAAGCCGAUUACAGAACGUCUCGUCUCGUCUCGUCUCGUCUCGAUACCCCGUCGCGUUCCAGAGAGCGCUCGCUGCGUUUGUAACUGCAACUGUGGUGGGAGAAAACUCCCUGGGGUUCAUUGUCUAGCUGCAUAGGAACCAGACAACCACGGGUCCGGAACCCAAGACGCACGACGGUCGUAGACCCACACCGAAGGGAAGAGCGACACCGCGAACACUGAGACGCCGACGCGUGACAUCGCCAUGACACCUGACCACACCGUCAUACUCGGACUACUCGUAAUUAGCUCAAUCCUAUUAACUCUCUCAGCAGAUGUAGAAACCCGCAUGCUUCCAAAUGUCUCAAUACCCUUAAAUAAAAAAAUCGAGUCGAUGCGAAAAAUCGCCGCCAACGUGAACAAAAUCUCAGGUAUCGGACAAGGGUGGCUAUCUGACCUAUUCAAUUGGUUUGGCUAAGACGCAUCCUCACGGUUUUUACACCUCUUAACCCCCCUUAUUACCUUGUUAAUGCCUCUUUUUAGUAUUGGUAUUUGUGUAUGUGUUAGUUGUUGUUUUAUACAAUACCUUAAAAACAAACUUAUUUCGCUAUCUGCUUUUGUAUAUACCCGCUUGCCAUAUGAACCCCCCGAACAAGACGACGAAGACGUAAUUGGCUUAUAAGCAUAAUAGUUCCGACUGUGCCAUUGGCAAGGGGGCAUGUCAGAACCCAUUGACUAAAUGCCUCUGGCACAGUGGAAAAUCCCAGCACAGCAAAAAGCCCCGCCAAGUUCAAUGGCUGCAAUCGUUUAAGUUUCAACAAGUCCUCGUGAUUGGCUGACCAUGCGCACCACCCAUUGGCCGGCUACAAAUUAAUCCCACUUGGCAACUAGUAAUUGGCUUACUAGCUAUAUAAAAGUAAAAGCAGUUUCCGCCCUCGUUGGAGAACUCCGCACGCAUCUCGGAGUAAACUUGGCGGACUGAUCACCCACCAACAACUCCCCGUCACCGACUUUCCUGACGUACCCCUUCCCUGGUACCACGAUAAGCCGAUUACGAACGUCUCGUCUCGUCUCGCCUCGAUACCCUCUCGCGUUCCAGAGAGCACUCGCCAGGUUUGUAACGGCAACCAAAGUCAGCGUUCUGCCUACGCUGUGCGCAUCAGCGGCGUAAGUAAACCAUCUAUUUUUACCAG
This is a long non-coding RNA of Alligator sinensis (Chinese alligator), 1564 nucleotides long. RefSeq lists it as uncharacterized. The record is from RefSeq and is a predicted model, not a curated record. The transcript has 2 exons. Lineage: Eukaryota; Metazoa; Chordata; Crocodylia; Alligatoridae.